CCUGGUUGAUCCUGCCAGUAGUCAUAUGCUUGUCUAAAAGAUUAAGCCAUGCAUGUCUAAGUAUAAGCAAUUAUACUGCAAAACUGCGGAAAGCUCAUUAUAUCAGUUAUAGUUUAUUUGAUGGUACCCUAGUACAUGGAUAUCUGUAGUAAUUCUAGAGCUAAUACAUGUCCUGAAUGUCAGACUCCUUCGGGGGAAUGCAAGGAUUUAUUAGAUACCCUUUUGCCAACCCGCUUCGGCGGUUUUUCUGGUGAAUCAUAAUAACUUCUAGAUCGCACUGCCUUACCGGGCGGCGAUGGGUCAUUCAAGUUUCUGCCCUAUCAGCUAGAUGUUAGUGUAUUGGACUAACAUGGCUCAUACGGGUGACGGAGGAUUAGGGUCCGAUCCCGGAGAGGGAGCCUGAGAAACGGCUACCACUUCCAAGGAAGGCAGCAGGCGCGUAAAUUACCCAAUCCCAAUACGGGGAGGUAGUGACAAGAAAUAACAAUAUCGGGCUCUUAUGGGUCUGGUAAUUGGAAUGAGCAUAAUGUAAAAUCCCUAACGAGGAUCUAUUGGAGGGCAAGUCUGGUGCCAGCAGCCGCGGUAAUACCAGCUCCAAUAGCAUAUGCUAAAGUUGUUGCAGUUAAAAGGCUCGUAGUCGAACUUAUGGCCCCAGUGAACCCUUCCCACCUUCUAGUAAGGUGCGCGUCGGUGUGCACGGGUCAUUGUUCUGGAAAGCAUGUCUGCCCUUGAUUGGGUCUGGCAUGUAAUUCAGGUCAUUUACUGUGAGUAAAUCAGAGUGUUCAAAGCAGGCAGCAAUGCUUGUAUGGUUCAGCAUGGAAUAAUAAGAUAAGACUUUGGUUUUAUUUUGUUGGCUAUAGAACCAAAGUAAUGAUUGAAAAGGAUAGUUGGGGGUGCUAGUAUUCAGUGGUCAGCGGAGAAAUGCGAGGACCCAUUGAAGACUAACUUAUGCGAAAGCAUUCACCAAGGAUAUCUUUAUUGAUCAAGAACGAAAGUUGGGGGAUCGAAGACGAUCAGAUACCGUCGUAGUCCCAACCAUAAACUAUGCCAACUGAGGGUUGGCAGGCAUUAAUACCUGAUUCUGUCAGAACUCUAUGAGAAAUCAAAGUCUCUGGGUUCUGGGGGGAGUAUGGUCGCAAGGCUGAAACUUAAAGGAAUUGACGGAAGGGCACCACCAGGAGUGGAGCCUGCGGCUUAAUUUGACUCAACACGGGGAAACUUACCAGGUCAGGACAUAGUAAGGAUUGACAGAUUGAAGCUCUUUCUUGAUUCUAUGGAUGGUGGUGCAUGGCCGUUCUUAGCUGGUGGAGUGAUUUGUCUGGUUAAUUCCGUUAACGAACGAGACCUCAGCCUACUAAUUAGUUGACCCAAUGUA
This 1375-nucleotide ribosomal RNA is filed under the name metagenome. Its description in RNAcentral is "SSU rRNA". It matches the Rfam family "Eukaryotic small subunit ribosomal RNA", at positions 3 to 1371 of the family's 1831-position model. The record is from RNAcentral.